This is a long non-coding RNA of Symphalangus syndactylus (siamang), 1578 nucleotides long. RefSeq lists it as uncharacterized. NCBI's taxonomy places the organism in Eukaryota, Metazoa, Chordata, Mammalia, Primates, Hylobatidae. The record is from RefSeq and is a predicted model, not a curated record.
GUAUUUAAGUCACUCAAGUAACGUCUGCUCCAUAUAAUGUACUGGCAUGGCCCAAUAUCUCAGCCCUAUGCCUGGAACUGCCCCUUCUGUGCUUCCCAAUAGGUGUUUCCUUUGGGUGCCAUUUUGCUCAUCCAAAGAGAACUCUGGGAGAAUCCCAAUCACUGUAGUUGCAUUUAUCCUGUCCAUGCACUGCUGUCAGUGUCCUGUUCCCCCUUAACAUAUUUGUCCUAACUACCUUCCCCUUUACCCUCAAAACUCAAAUUGACCCUGUCUGAUUCUGCUCAACUCCAUCAUUAAGGAGGGCAUGCUAAUAUCAAGUAUCCACCAUAUGUCAUACAUUCCGCUGGGUUCCUAAUGUAACUUAUUUCCUUUAUAUUCACAGCAACCCUCUGAAAGAGGUAUUAUUUUCUUAACCUUAUGAAUAAAAGAAUUAAGACUCAAGGAGGUAAGUGACUUGCCAAAGACAACAUACGUAGAAAGACUGCCUGGGAUUCCUACUAUGACCUGUUUAACCCAAGGGUCCACACUUUCUCCAUUCUGCCAAACUCUCUCACUAACACGAGGACUAGACUUCGUAUAGAUUCACUAACCACACCCUAGACAACCAUGCCUCUGCACUCUCCAUGGCAGCGACUGACUUCCCUGUUAAUUCCUUUAGUUUUUUUUAUUCACUUACCUUGAGUCCAAGAAGUUAGAGAGGGCAUUGUAAAGAAAUGUUAGAUUCUAACUCCUGCUGGAAGCAAGAGAGUGGAAGUCGGCAGGACACUGAAAGGUCACUAGUUUGUGGCAGCUGCUGGUUUUGAAGCACUGGUUUACACUCCACUUUCCUUUCCUGUCAACUCAUCCCUGGUUCUUAAAGAGGUCAAGGUCCUACCAGGUAGAUAAUGCGUACAGUUUCUUUCUGUUAUGACAAUUAUGAAGAAAAGACUUCCCAUCUCAUGCUCACCACUAAAGCUUUGCCUUUGUUUCAUUCAGAUAUUCUGUAUGAAAUCUGGGGCCAAUUUUAAGGACAGAGAGAAACCAUGCAAAAGAAAGCAGGGGCUGCUGCUGACUUAGAGAUGGAGGAAAGGGGCCAUGAGCCUAGAAAUGCAAGGAGCCUCCAGAAGUGAAAAAGUCAAGGAAGUGAUUUUCCCUAGAGACUUCAGAAGGGGUAUAGCCCUUUAGAUACCUUCAUUUUAGUGCAGUAAAACCCAGUUUGGGUUUCUGAACUCCAGAACUGGACAGCAAAAAAAAAUCUGUGGGAUUUUUUGUAACUUGUUUAUGGUAAUUUGUUACAAAAGCAAUAGAAAACUAGUGUACUUAUCUUGUCUUUUUUCUUCCUGUAAAGAUUUUCCUUGUGUGCAGUCUUGAUACUUCUCAUCAUCCUACAGAGACAAAGCAUGAGCCAGCACUGACCAUAUUACAAUCCCGAGGGGAUAGAUCCCUACAGUAUAAGGAUGCAAAUUAAAAGGCAAACAGAAGGAGUGUUUGGCUUGGAUUAGUAAGAAGAGAAAAAAAAGAUGCAGCUUCCACAGUCACAACACCCUAGAAAUGUUUGGGUACCAAUGUAGCUUAAAAAAAAAAAAAGAAAAAAAACAA